Molecule: ribosomal RNA, 446 nt
Filed under: uncultured bacterium
Lineage: Bacteria
Description: partial 16S ribosomal RNA
Rfam family: Bacterial small subunit ribosomal RNA
Source: RNAcentral
CCUACGGGUGACUGCAGUCGAGAAUCAUUCACAAUGGGGGAAACCCUGAUGGUGCGACGCCGCGUGGGGGAAUGAAGGUCUUCGGAUUGUAAACCCCUGUCAUGUGGGCACAAAUUAAAAAGAUAGUACCACACGAGGAAGAGACGGCUAACUCUGUGCCAGCAGCCGCGGUAAUACAGAGGUCUCAAGCGUUGUUCGGAAUCACUGGGCGUAAAGCGUGCGUAGGCUGUUUCGUAAGUCGUGUGUGAAGGGCGCGGGCUCAACCCGCGGACGGCACAUGAUACUGCGAGACUAGAGUAAUGGAGGGGGAACCGGAAUGCUCGGUGUAGCAGUGAAAUGCGUAGAUAUCGAGAGGAACACUCGUGGCGAAGGCGGGUUCCUGGACAUUAACUGACGCUGAGGCACGAAGGCCAGGGGAGCGAAAGGGAUUAGAUACCCCAGUAGUC